Molecule: long non-coding RNA, 736 nt
Filed under: Homo sapiens (human)
Lineage: Eukaryota; Metazoa; Chordata; Mammalia; Primates; Hominidae
Description: HSALNT0310762
Source: RNAcentral
CCAACAUAGCCUUGUCACAUCUCUAUGUCAGUUGUCUGCUUAAAUUGUUACCAUUUACCUGCCAGUGAGAAAGGAGAAGAAAAAACAUAGAGGGGAGCCAGUUUUCAUUGUAAGGCUGGGACCUGGAUGUGGUGCCCAUCACUUCUAUGAGCCUGAGCUGAUUGGCGUGGCCACUCCUAGCUGUAAGGGAGGCUGGGAACUACACUGCCCUCUCCAACUGCCUGCCCUGCUCCUGCUCCAGGAUGCCCCGUGUUACUGAAAAGAAGAGGGUAAACGGGGAUGGGGGCAAUUAGAAGUCUCUGCCACUGCUUAUCAUAAUGACGUGCUUGCUUCCCUUCACCUUCUGCCAUGACUCUAAGUUUCCUGAGGCCUCCCCAGAAGCAGAAGCCUGUACAGCCCACAGAACUGUUGGAUCACAGACCAAUGGAACAGAAGGGAGACUAGAAAUAGACCCAUGCAAGUCAGUGGAGAAAGGAUGGAUUAUUUUCAUAAAUGCUGCUGGAAAUAAAUUUGAAUGGAAAAAAUGAAACUGGAUCACCACACCAUGCACAAAAAUUAAUUAUGGCUCAAUUAAAGACUUACGUGAUAAAUGCAAAGCUAUAAAACACAGAGUACAAUGCAGAAAGAUCAAUAUAUGACUUUGGAAUGGAAAGAUUUCUUAAAUAAGAUGCAAAAACUGUUAAUUAUAUAGAAAAAAAUGAUAAAUUUGACCACAUUAAAAUUAGGAAUUUCUGUG